Molecule: transfer RNA, 77 nt
Filed under: Streptomyces phage AbbeyMikolon
Lineage: Duplodnaviria; Heunggongvirae; Uroviricota; Caudoviricetes
Description: tRNA-Thr
Source: RNAcentral
UGCGCGUAGGUGCUGCUAGGAGGCACACCCCCGACGUUCGAGGGGGAGGCCGGGGGUUCAAAUCCCCCACGCGCAGC